RNAcentral lists this ribosomal RNA (465 nucleotides) under uncultured bacterium. RNAcentral describes it as "partial 16S ribosomal RNA". It matches the Rfam family "Bacterial small subunit ribosomal RNA", at positions 28 to 507 of the family's 1533-position model. The record is from RNAcentral.
GACGAACGCUGGCGGCGUGCUUAACACAUGCAAGUCGAACGGAAAGGCCCUGCUUGCAGGGUACUCGAGUGGCGAACGGGUGAGUAACACGUGGGUGAUCUGCCCUGCACUUCGGGAUAAGCCUGGGAAACUGGGUCUAAUACCGGAUAGGAGCCAUUUUUAGUGUGAUGGUUGGAAAGUUUUUUCGGUGUAGGAUGAGCUCGCGGCCUAUCAGCUUGUUGGUGGGGUAAUGGCCUACCAAGGCGGCGACGGGUAGCCGGCCUGAGAGGGUGGACGGCCACAUUGGGACUGGGAUACGGCCCAGGCUCCUACGGGAGGCAGCAGUGGGGAAUAUUGCACAAUGGGCGCAAGCCUGAUGCAGCGACGCCGCGUGGGGGAUGACGGCCUUCGGGUUGUAAACUCCUUUCGCUAGGGACGAAGCUUUUUGUGACGGUACCUAGAGAAGAAGCACCGGCUAACUACGUG